UACGGGGGGGGCAAGCGUUGUUCGGAAUUACUGGGCGUAAAGGGCCAGUAGGCGGCCAACUAAGUCGGAUGUGAAAUCCCCAGGCUUAACCUGGGAACUGCAUCCGAUACUGGAUGGCUUGAAUUCGGGAGAGGGAUGCAGAAUUCCAGGUGUAGCGGUGAAAUGCGCAGAUAUCAGGAGGAACACCAAUGGCGAAGGCAGCUCGCUGGGACGUGACUGACGCUGAGACGCGAAAGCGUGGGGAGCAAACAGG
Molecule: ribosomal RNA, 253 nt
Filed under: uncultured bacterium
Lineage: Bacteria
Description: partial 16S ribosomal RNA
Rfam family: Bacterial small subunit ribosomal RNA
Source: RNAcentral